UACGUAGGGUGCAAGCGUUGUCCGGAAUUAUUGGGCGUAAAGAGCUCGUAGGCGGUGUGUCGCGUCGGCCGUGAAAACCUGCAGCUUAACUGUGGGCUUGCGGUCGAUACGGGCAGACUGGAGUACUGCAGGGGAGACUGGAAUUCCUGGUGUAGCGGUGGAAUGCGCAGAUAUCAGGAGGAACACCGGUGGCGAAGGCGGGUCUCUGGGCAGUAACUGACGCUGAGGAGCGAAAGCGUGGGGAGCGAACAGG
This 253-nucleotide ribosomal RNA is filed under the name uncultured bacterium. Its description in RNAcentral is "partial 16S ribosomal RNA". It matches the Rfam family "Bacterial small subunit ribosomal RNA", at positions 524 to 776 of the family's 1533-position model. The record is from RNAcentral.